CUACGGGUCGCUCCAGUGAGGAAUAUUGCACAAUGGGGGGAACCCUGAUGCAGCAACGCCGCGUGGAGGUUGACGCAUUUCGGUGUGUAAACUCCUUUUAUAUGUCAAGAAAAUGACGGUAGCAUAUGAAUAAGCACCGGCUAACUCCGUGCCAGCAGCCGCGGUAAUACGGAGGGUGCAAGCGUUACUCGGAAUCACUGGGCGUAAAGGACGCGCAGGCGGGUUGGAAAGUCAGGUGUGAAAUCCUACAGCUUAACUGUAGAACUGCACUUGAAACUUCUAAUCUAGAGUAUGGGAGGGGGAGAUGGAAUUAGUGGUGUAGGGGUAAAAUCCGUAGAUAUCACUAGGAAUACCUAAAGCGAAGGCGAUCUCCUGGAACAUUACUGACGCUAAGGCGUGAAAGCGUGGGGAGCAAACAGGAUUAGAUACCCUCGUAGUC
Molecule: ribosomal RNA, 439 nt
Filed under: uncultured bacterium
Lineage: Bacteria
Description: partial 16S ribosomal RNA
Rfam family: Bacterial small subunit ribosomal RNA
Source: RNAcentral